CCUACGGGAGGCAGCAGUGGGGAAUAUUGCACAAUGGGGGAAACCCUGAUGCAGCGACGCCGCGUGAGUGAAGAAGUAUUUCGGUAUGUAAAGCUCUAUCAGCAGGGAAGAAAAUGACGGUACCUGACUAAGAAGCCCCGGCUAACUACGUGCCAGCAGCCGCGGUAAUACGUAGGGGGCAAGCGUUAUCCGGAUUUACUGGGUGUAAAGGGAGCGUAGACGGCAGCACAAGUCUGGAGUGAAAUGCCGGGGCUUAACCCCGGAACUGCUUUGGAAACUGUGCAGCUAGAGUGCAGGAGAGGUAAGUGGAAUUCCUAGUGUAGCGGUGAAAUGCGUAGAUAUUAGGAGGAACACCAGUGGCGAAGGCGGCUUACUGGACUGUAACUGACGUUGAGGCUCGAAGGCGUGGGGAGCAAACAGGAUUAGAUACCCCGGUAGUC
This 440-nucleotide ribosomal RNA is filed under the name uncultured bacterium. RNAcentral describes it as "partial 16S ribosomal RNA". It matches the Rfam family "Bacterial small subunit ribosomal RNA", at positions 338 to 795 of the family's 1533-position model. The record is from RNAcentral.